Molecule: transfer RNA, 77 nt
Filed under: Minisyncoccota bacterium
Lineage: Bacteria; Bacillati; Minisyncoccota
Description: tRNA-Met
Rfam family: tRNA
About the family: Transfer RNA (tRNA) molecules are approximately 80 nucleotides in length. Their secondary structure includes four short double-helical elements and three loops (D, anti-codon, and T loops).
Source: RNAcentral
GCUGAUGUAGCUCAGGUAGUUAGAGCAUGGGACUCAUAAACCCAAGGUCGGAGGUGCAAGUCCUCCCAUCAGCACCA